Long non-coding RNA from Anastrepha obliqua, 591 nucleotides. RefSeq lists it as uncharacterized. The record is from RefSeq and is a predicted model, not a curated record. The transcript has 3 exons. NCBI's taxonomy places the organism in Eukaryota, Metazoa, Arthropoda, Insecta, Diptera, Tephritidae.
AGAAAACUUGUUCAAAUCAAAUUUACAAAGCGAGAUGAAAUAUUAUUAGAUGUGGUUAAUCAAAACUCUCACUGAGAAAAAUUGGCAGAUUUUAGAUAAUUUUAAAGUUUUUCAGUACAAGAUCUAUACAAAUGACAAGAACGUGAAGCUAUUAAGUAUGCUGAAGAGAAGCUUUUCAAUACUUAUCGGCAUCAAUCAAGGCUUCUAAGUCCGAACUGUGCACCAGUCCUUCCAGACUUUGUCGCAUAAGUUGCACAUUGAUAAAAGUUCAGUGACAGUCAUAUUUUUUAUCAGGAUUUUAGUUGUAUGAGUUCCUCAUAAUUAUCUGUCGCUCGGGUGAAUGGCUGAAUAAACCUUUCCACGUAGUAAUAAAUAUGUAGAAAUACUGAAAAAUAACAAAUUAUCAACAUUUAGGAUACAUAAAACAGAUGUAUCUCGUUCGCCUCGGAAGGUAACUCAUUGGCAAUAACCUACUUACAUACGACAAUGACCGUGUUUUGUAAUAAAGGAUCUUUCAAAAGACAUGCCUGGAUGUUUUGAAGUAAAACAGCUGCGGUUUUCUCAUAAAUUUUAUAAAUUGUGAAAUAAAAC